CACAGCGGGAAGCCAGGUGGUGACACCGAGCAGAACCGAAAGCCGUUCUCAGUUCGGAUCGGAGUCUGCAACCCGACUCCGUGAAGCUGGAUUCGCUAGUAAUCGCGCAUCAGCCAUGGCGCGGUGAAUACGUUCCCGGGCCUUGUACACACCGCCCGUCAAGCCAUGGAAGCCGGGGGCGCUUGAAGUGCGUUGCCGCAAGGCGCGCCCUAGAGCGAAACCGGUGACUGGGGCUAAGUCGUAACAAGGUAGC
Molecule: ribosomal RNA, 253 nt
Filed under: uncultured bacterium
Lineage: Bacteria
Description: partial 16S ribosomal RNA
Rfam family: Bacterial small subunit ribosomal RNA
Source: RNAcentral